GUUGUUGUCAGCAUCAAGUUCGAUAUCCAUCCCAAUCCCAUAAUGUCAAAUCCGGGAAGCAUUUGGACCCUGCGAUUUGCUGUAACCUAAUAGUAUUAACUUUAUCGUCAGAUAAUGGGGAAGAACAAAUACCAGUCCUUUUCAUAUUAAUUUUAGCUGUUUAAUUAAUAAUUAUCACCAGAGAGUAGAAAGAUCCGAUGGAGUGUAUGGAAAAGGGAUGUCUGGAGCCACGUGGCUCGAACCCAAGUUUGAUAUUAUCGUUGCUUGAUUCAAGGAAUGCAACCACGUGACCAGUUUAACUUCUGCAACCAAUUUAAAGCUGAUCGAUUUCUUCUUGUUGAUAGCAGGAGCUAUAUUUGAGAUGGGGAACAAUGGGCUCGAAUGAUCCUACAAGAUGGAGUACAAACAUGAUCCGUGACUGUGAAGGUCCCAAUUUGACAUCACAAGAGUGGUCUACUGAGAUGGUGAACAGACCGAGGAAAUUAAGUAGGCUCUGGUGCUGGUAGGGGCCAACCAAGAGGCCAUCAUCUGCACUGCUCCAAUAUUAGACAACUGGUUUUAUGCCAACUGAGGCCCUGCCCCAUGCAUGUCUCUUUUUCCAGAUACCCUAUCAAGAAAAUAUGAUUACAAUGGCGGAUUACAAGAAAAAACAACUUGAUAAUUGCUGUUGGCAAGUCUCACCUCCUGCUGAUAACUUAAAUUCAGUUAGGAAGCCUUAUUUUCUUCCAUGGGAGAAGAAAAGCUAACAAACAAGAGGUGAAGAAUAAGUGAGAGGUCAUGUAUUCUUCCCAAAAAACAAAAAAGAAAAGAAAAAAGAAGAAGAGGAAGGUCAUGGGUGAGGAACAGUGCACUAUUUGUAGUCUUGUUGGUGAGAGGUAUUAUCGUACCCAAAAAGCAAAACCUUGAAGAUGGAGUUUGGGCCCAUUUAUGACAAGAGCGGACCAAGCCUGCUAUUCUAUGGGGAUUUUUACCUAAAAGGAUUUCAAUCACUUGGAAAACCAAUCUUGCAUGGCAAUGUCUCAAGAAUUUGAUCUUGCUGUGAUACAGGGGGAAGAGAAACAGAGAAAUGAAAUGAAAGCUAGGUUUUCACGUGACAAAAUUUGGCGUGAUGGAAUGGAAGAGCUAUAACCUUUCCCUGCUUCAAUGGCAAGAAAAUUAUUUUCUGUUCUUACUCCUACUAUAAGCAUAGCAUGUGCUGUAUAAGCUGUCUUCCCAAUUGUCACCAACAGCAAUUUCUCUGUUUUCAGUGGAAGACAACGAUAGGGAGAGAGCACGAGGGUGUGUUUUCUUGCAGAAGUUCUCUCCAGCAAAGGCUGGUAUCAAUCAACAUAGGUUUCUUUAUGGUCAAGGAAGAGACCAAAAUCCAAAGGCCAGAAAGCGGAUACGUGGACAAAAAAGCAUACAAAAAGGUUAUCCAUACCAUCAGCAAGGUGCAACACCACAAUCAAGGACAUUAGCAGCCAUGAUAUUGCUAAAACUUGCAGCCAACACCAAGAAUGUACUCGGCAGGUAGGCAUUGAUGCAAUGCCUCCAAUUCAACUACUUGCACGACAACAAAUUAGUUAAAGCAUCAAAACUGGAGGUUUUUCUGUCAAAUGGCAUCAAUAUCAUUUAUUUCCAUUAUAUAGCAGACUGCAACAGUCAAUGGCAUAUAUACAAGAUAUGUACAA
This is a long non-coding RNA of Populus euphratica (Euphrates poplar), 1670 nucleotides long. RefSeq lists it as uncharacterized. The transcript is spliced from 2 exons. Lineage: Eukaryota; Viridiplantae; Streptophyta; Magnoliopsida; Malpighiales; Salicaceae. The record is from RefSeq and is a predicted model, not a curated record.